Molecule: long non-coding RNA, 1607 nt
Filed under: Lathyrus oleraceus (garden pea)
Lineage: Eukaryota; Viridiplantae; Streptophyta; Magnoliopsida; Fabales; Fabaceae
Description: Pisum sativum (pea) long non-coding RNA (PSAT_LNC037169)
Source: RNAcentral
CCUUUCCAAAUUAAAUUUUGUUAAAACCAACAUACUCACUUUGAAACUUAUAGCACGAACUAUGAGGUUUUGAUCCCUCAUUUUUAUGUUGGUACGUAGGCACAAGACCGAAGGUCUUGUCAAACACAAAAAUAUAAUUAAUCAAUUCUUUUCUCAUCCCAUCAUUCUAUUUGUUUGUAAACAUCAUUUUGUACAAAAAUACAUAUGCACACAAAAAGGGCUCCCUAGGAGUACCUAGGACACUUUGGGUGUUAACACCUUCCCUCUGUGUAACCAACCCCCUUACCUGUGAUCUCUGAUUUUUAUUAGUUUUUACUUGAAAACUACUUACUAAUUGGGUUUUGUUCGUAUUUUUUCCUUUUCCCUUGGAAACAAUAAAAUCGCGGUGGCGACUCUUGUUAAUUGAUCUUUAGCUUGUCAAUAGCUCAAUGAUCAUGAAUUUCCCACUACACCAUCUCUCCAAUCUUUUAACAAACAACACCCUUUUCAAACCAAAAUAUACAUAUUUUCUAAGAGGAUUCCAUGGAGUACCAUGGAUGUUUAGGGUGAUAAUAUCUUCCCUUUGCAUAACUCACCCCGAACCCUUAUUCUCUUUUUAUUAGUUUUGUUUUAAAACUUCUUCGGGUUUUGUUCAUACUUUUUCCCUUUUCCUUUGGAAAUAAUAAAAGUGUGGUGGCGACUCUUGUUUUUCGAGUUAAGUUAAUCAAUAGCUUAAUCUCAAAAAAUUUACCGCUACAAUUAGAACAUUAAACAUGCACAUGGAUCAUUUUAUUUUUGAGUUAAAUUUUUUCCUAUAUAAAUAGUGUUUCUCUUUAUUUCAUUUUGUUUGAUAAGUGACUCCAAAAACAAGAAGGGGUGAAUUUUGUAGGUUAAAAAAUGAUGUCCAAUUAUAAAAAUCUUGAUUUCUAAAAACAUUUAAAUCAACUAUAUAAAUCAAACAAAUAAUAUGCAUCAUAAUAUUUAUAAAAAAAAUAUCAAAGAGAUGUAAAUGUAGGGGGAAAAAUAAAGAAUUGAAAUAUAAAGAGACAAGAGAAGAGAGAAAUGCACUACACUCUAUACAGGUUUGGUCUAACCACUUGACUCACUUUUAUCCACAAGAAUUUCUUCUUUAGAGUUUCCACUAUAUGAGAUGUGAACUUUUUGCAGGUUAUGCCAACAAAUCUUCUUACAACCAAAUAGAAUAUUUUAAACGGCCUAAUCCCCGAAGAAAAUAAGCGAUUUUGCAUCGGGAUAAUCUCAUAACCAAAUAGAGAUUUUACACCAUGUUGAGCUUAGAAAUCAAACAGAUUCUUUUACGUCUAUACUCAAUAACCAAACAGGAGCUUUUAACGGGCUGAGCUCACAGACCAAACAAAUAUUUUUUCUGGAAAAUCUCACAAACCAAUUAAGAGCUUUUAACUGGUUUUGUUCACAACCAAACAACACUUUAUUUCGAAGAUAUUACACAAGUGAAAAACCCUCUUGAGUAACUUACACACUUCCCACAACACAAUAACAAUAAAAUUCUCACCGAUACUUUUCACUCUCAAAGAACUAAGGCAAUUUUGUGAGAAAAAAGAAAGAAAUGAAAUGGAGAGGUAGAAAUUGAGAAAGUAUUCUUGAAAUAU